AUACGUAGGGGGCGAGCGUUGUCCGGAAUGAUUGGGCGUAAAGGGCGCGUAGGCGGCCCGGUAAGUCUGGAGUGAAAGUCCUGUUUUUAAGAUGGGAAUUGCUUUGGAUACUGUCGGGCUUGAGUGCAGGAGAGGUAAGUGGAAUUCCCAGUGUAGCGGUGAAAUGCGUAGAGAUUGGGAGGAACAGCAGUGGCGAAUACGGCUUACUGUACGGUACCUGACGCUGAGGCGCGAUAGUGUGGGAUGCAAACAUGAUUAGAUGCACUGUUAGACCACACUGUGAACGAUGAAUUCUAGGUGUAGGGGGUAGCGCCCCCUUCUGUGCCGCAGUCAACACAAUAAGCGGUCCGCCUGGGGAGUACUGCCGCAAGGUUGAAACUCAAAGGAAUUAGCAGGG
RNAcentral lists this ribosomal RNA (397 nucleotides) under uncultured bacterium. RNAcentral's name for it is "partial 16S ribosomal RNA". It matches the Rfam family "Bacterial small subunit ribosomal RNA", at positions 523 to 918 of the family's 1533-position model. The record is from RNAcentral.